This 320-nucleotide long non-coding RNA is filed under the name Mytilus galloprovincialis (Mediterranean mussel). The record is from RNAcentral. Lineage: Eukaryota; Metazoa; Mollusca; Bivalvia; Mytilida; Mytilidae.
AUUAAUUUGGUUUAUGGCAUAGAAAAACUUUGAAAAAAAAUGUUCGUAAAAUUUUUGUUUUGACUAAAAUAAUACCAUAGACAGGCCCAAAUCCAGAAUGGGGUUCAAUACAAUCACACUCCACUUUUAACAGUAACAAUUCAAACAGAACGUCAACAUUACAAACAGUGCUUAUUUAUUUUCAAAGGGGUCGUACGAACCCUUCGAGUCCCCAGGCUACGGGUGUGAUCGAUCUCCCUGAAAGUUUAAUUGUUGAUCCCUUUUAUGUGAAUUUCGUUUCAGAAAUUUUGCAGGAUUUUUUUUCUAUCUUGAUUUGUAAU